AACGACAUAAGUAUAAGUAAUACAUCACUAUGCACUUUUAAUAACAACAAAGUAAGGGAAGAGAUAGAUAAAAAUCUACCGUAUGAAGAUAAGGAUAAUAAAAUUUAUAUUAAAGAAUUAGAUGGUAAAACAGGAGGAGAAGCCAUAAUGAAUUUAUUAGGUUUGAAUAAACCUAAUGAAAAAAAAAAAAGAGUAGAUGAAAAAGUAAAGAAGAAAAAAAAGACAGGUAAUAAUAACAAUUUGUUAAAAGAAUGUGUUAAUAAUGAUAUUGGUGUUACAUCUGUUGUUACUUACCAUGAUAUGGCUAAUGGUAGUAUGUAUAUGGGUGGAGAUAAUUUUACAAAUAGUGUGAAUAUGAACUGUAGUAGUAGUAGUAGUAGUAGCAGUAGUAGUAGUAGUAGUAGUAGUAGUAUCACUAUUAGUAGUAAUACCUUUACUACUACCAACUAUACCAACAAUAUUAACAAUAUUAACAGUAUUAACAAUAUUAACAAUAUUAGUAGUAUUAACAAUAAUAACAAUAUUAAUAGUAUGGAUAAUAGCCAAUGGAAGAAUAACAAUAUAGUUAAUAACAUAAACACACAUCGCAAUGAAAAGAAUGAUAAAUAUAACAUGGACAGUAUUAAAAAUGAAGAUUAUAAUAUAAUAAGCAAUAUAAAUAGUAAGAGUAAGAGUAAGAGUAGUAGAAAUAGAAUAAACAAUGACAGUUAUAACAUAAAUGGUAACAUAGUAGGUAACUAUACUACUAAUAGUAUACGGGUUAAUAAUAUACAAACGAAUAAUAUGCACACAAAUAAUAGUAGUAGUAGUAGUAAUAAUAACAAUGAUGAAUUUGUUAUGAAUAAUCACGACAUAAAUAGAAAACAAAAUAAUGUACCUGACGAAUAUCAGAACUUUUUGUAUGAAAAUUUGUUUGGUAAAAAUAUUAAUUUAUUAAAUAACAUGAAUAUGAAUAGCAUCCAUCACAUGAACAACAUGCAUAAUGUGAACGAUGUUCAUAAGAAUAUGAAUUAUAACAACGUUAAUCAUAAUAUCGUACAUAAUGUAAACGACAUAGACCACGAAAGAGUCAUGUCUAACUCAUUGUUAAAUAUCAUCAAAGCAAAUGCUUCAAAUAACAUGGAAAAUUCUCAACAUAUUCCUGAACAUGUUCAUAUUAUUAAUAACAAUCAUAACAAUAAUAAUAAUAACAAUAAUA
RNAcentral lists this long non-coding RNA (1198 nucleotides) under Piliocolobus tephrosceles (Ugandan red Colobus). RNAcentral describes it as "lncRNA (ENSPTEG00000000289.1)". The record is from RNAcentral. Lineage: Eukaryota; Metazoa; Chordata; Mammalia; Primates; Cercopithecidae.